GGGGUUUUGGGGCACAGCCGGCGGGGCCUUGGGCGUGCGGGGCAGUCCCGGCGCUGCCGUGGGGAGCCCUGUUUCUUCACGGCAGCGUCGCUUUCACGUCGAGAGAGGUUCUCCUUCCCCUCUACUCCGCCCUGCAGACAUGGGGAGGAUGUGCAACGGUGAUGGAGUUGUUGCCAGGAAAAAGUGCUCUGAGGAGCUCUUAAUAAUUCCCUUCCAACACAGCUCAGCUUCUCUUCUUCUGACACUGCGUAUCCCUUGCAGUUCCUCUAUAAAUCUCAGACUUCUCCAGAAAAUCAGAGGACGACAUGUGCAGUGACUUGACUUGUAAGGUGAUUACGGGCAUUGGGCAUGGAAGAAAUACAGGUUUUGAAGAAAAAGAGAAGAGUUGAGGAGGAUUUGGCUGAGAGAUCCUGGAUGAUUGUUCCAGAUAGAUAUAAAUUACACAUGGUAUUGUCUUCUUUGCACUUAAUUUUUAAUUAUGUUGUGGACAGUACACAAAUGGAAAGAAGAGC
Long non-coding RNA from Columba livia (rock pigeon), 512 nucleotides. RefSeq lists it as uncharacterized. NCBI's taxonomy places the organism in Eukaryota, Metazoa, Chordata, Aves, Columbiformes, Columbidae. The transcript is spliced from 4 exons. The record is from RefSeq and is a predicted model, not a curated record.